GGCAGUAUGGUGUAUGCACGCACGCGGGGCUUCAACACGUGUUGAUCACACCGAGAUUACCCCUGAGGACCUCGUUCGACUCGAGGUACUGCUC
Molecule: non-coding RNA, 94 nt
Organism: Mycena polygramma
Lineage: Eukaryota; Fungi; Basidiomycota; Agaricomycetes; Agaricales; Mycenaceae
Source: the annotation of a GenBank genome assembly